UAUGUCGAGCGAUAUUAAGCGGAGGAAAAGUUGGUAUCAGAGAGCCGAGUCCGGAAUCAAGGUGAAGGCGGGCGUGUUCCCUUCCCUCGUCCCCAUGGACUCCGAGACCAGGUCGAAAAUGCUGCAGUGGAACUACCUGGACACAUGGUUUGGACGGCCAAAGAAAUCGGCUCGUGGGGGUGGGGUCAGAGGUGGUGCUGGCCACAACACCAUCCCCCGUCCCCACUCCGGAGACGACUUCAACGAGAUCGAGAUCCAGGCUUCCAUCAUCGCGAGGAUGGACGAGGAGACGGUCAACGACAAAUUCGAGGAGAUGUUGGCUAAUAUGAAUCUCACGGAGGAGAAGAAGGAGCCCCUGCGACAGCAGUCCGAGGUGAAGAAGAAAGAGAUGCUGGUCUUGCAUUACAAGGGCAGCGUGCAGGAAAACAGAUCGAAAUUCGAUAAGCCCGCGGAUUAUAUACAGUAUUUGGCUCAGCCUGACCUGAGCGUUAACAAGAUCUACAACUGUAUCGAGUCGCUGAGGAUCGCCCUGACGAACAAUCCUUUGAGCUGGGUCCAGGAGUUCGGGACGAAAGGGCUGAAGCAAGUUCUCGCCACGCUGAACGAAUGCUACCGGAAUGCCUUCAUAUAUUACGAUAGCGACAACCGAUACGAGCGAAUACAGUACGAAUGUAUUCGGUGUUUGAAGGCGAUCAUGAACAACACGGUUGGGAUUAAAGAGAUGCUGGCCCACCACGAGGCGCUGACCAUCGUGGCCAGAUCUCUGGAGCCCAGCAAACCUUCCGUCAUGUACGAAGCUGUGAAAUUACUUGGUGCGGUCUGUCUCAUCUCGAGUGACAGCCAUAAAAAGGUUCUCGAUGCCAUUACCAUGAAUGGAGAGUUCAAGGGGCGGGAGAGGUUCCUGCCGAUCGUCCAGGGAUUGAUGCACAAGAAAAACGAAAACCUGAGGGUGGUGUGCCUUCAGUUGAUCAACUCGAUAAUCUCAUCCGCGGAAGACCUGGAUUUCCGGCUGCACUUGCGGAACGAAAUCAUGCGAGUCGGCUUGGCCGACAUUUUGGAGACCUUGGAGAAAGAUGAGUCCGAAGACUUGUCGACGCAUCUGAAAAUUUUCAACGACUACAAAGAGGAGGACUACGAGGAGUUCGUCCAAAGAUUCGACCACGUCAGGCUGGAGUUGGACGACGUGAACGACUGCUUCGAGGUGAUAAAGAACAUGGUCAUGGACACCAUGGCCGAGCCGUACUUUCUGUCGAUUCUUCAGCAUCUUCUGUUCAUCAGAGACGACGCUCUGGUGAGGCCUGCUUAUUACAAGCUGAUAGAGGAGUGCGUGUCGCAAAUCGUGCUUCAUCGUUCAGGCUGUGAUCCGGACUUUAGUGCAACCAAACGCUUCCAAAUAGACGUCCAACCGUUGAUCGACACUCUGGUAGAGAAGUCUCGCGCCGAGGACGAUCGUCGAUGGGUCGAGCUGUCGCAGAAAUUAGAGGAAGCGAUAUCUAGUAAGCAGGAGGCAGAAGCUAAACUUCAGCACGCCGAGAAUAAAAUCAAGGAAUUGGAACACGGAACGGAGAGAACGGGAGGUGGUCCCGCGAAAGGUGGGCCUCCGCCUCCGCCUAUGCCCGGGAUGGGUGGAAUACCUCCGCCUCCUCCAAUUCCUGGCAUGGGUGGUCCACCCCCACCUCCGAUGCCUGGAAUGGGGGGUCCACCUCCACCACCGAUGCCUGGAAUGGGUGGACCACCACCACCACCGAUGCCUGGCUUUGGCAGCCCUGCCCCACCGCCUAUGCCCGGCAUGGGUCCUCCACCUCCUAUGAUGAAUGCCGGCCCUCGACCACCUGGACCAGGAGCGGUCCAAGUGUUACCUCACGGCUUGAAACCCAAGAAGAAAUGGGAGGUCGAAGGCCCCCUGAAGAGGGCCAACUGGAAAGCGAUCCUGCCUCACAAGCUCUCGGAGAAGUCCUUCUGGGUGAAGGUACAGGAGGACAGACUGGCUAGUCCGGAAAUUCUUAACGGCUUGGCGCAGAAGUUCUCGUCGAAACCUGCCGGCAAGAAAAUCGACGACGUCGUCGACAAGUCUGCUCCGACCAAGAAGGUUAAGGAUCUCAAAGUCUUGGAUAGCAAGGUGGCCCAGAAUAUCUCGAUUUUACUGGGAGGAACCUUGAAACACAUGCCUUAUGACGAUGUUAAAGCCUGCUUGCUUAAGUGCGAGGGCCCGGUCAUAUCGGACAAUAUAUUGCAAGGACUAAUUCAGUAUUUGCCACCUCCUGAUCAGCUGGCUAAGCUGCAGCAGUACAAAGACCAGUAUGACGACUUGACGGAAGCCGAACAGUUCUGUGUAACGAUAUCCACGAUCAAGAGGCUACUGCCGAGAUUGAGAUCACUGAGCUUUAUGCUGCGCUACGAGGAAUUAGUGCAGGACGUAAAGCCGGACAUCGUUGCUGGCACGGCUGCGUGUGAAGAAGUGAAAUGCAGCAAAAAGUUCGCCAAAAUUCUUGAAUUAAUCCUUCUGCUGGGAAAUUACAUGAACUCUGGUUCGAGAAAUGGUCAAGCGUUCGGAUUUGAAAUCAGUUUUCUUACCAAGUUAACGAGUACAAAGGACGUGGACAACAAGCAAACACUUAUGCAUUAUUUGGUGGAUACGAUCGAAAGGAAGUUCCCGGACUGUUUGACUUUCUCGGAGGAGUUAGCUCACGUCGACCGAGCUAGCAGAGUUUCGUUGGAAAACAUUCAGAGAACCCUUCGGCAGAUGGAUACCAAUUUACGCAAUCUCGAGCAGGAUCUGGCCAAUGCCAAAAUUCCGCAGGGAGAUAUCGACAUGUUUGCAGAAGUAAUGACGCCGUUCGCCAAGAAAGCCAGGGAAUCGUACGAAGUUAUGCAAAGCAUGUUCAAGAACAUGGACAGCCUCUACACGGAUAUCUCGGAAUUCUUCGCCUUCGACAAGCAGAAGUACACCAUCGAGGAGUUCUUCGGCGACAUCAAGACGUUCAAGGACGAUUUUGGGCAAGCACAAAAGGAGAUCAUCAAGAUGCGCGAGGGCGAGGAGAAGCAGAGAAGAGCACGCGAGGCGCGGGAGAAGAUGGAAGCGGAGAAGACUGCUCGGGCGGAGAGGAAACGCGCACUGGUCGACAUGAACGCUCACGAAACGCAAGAGGGAGUUAUGGAUAGUUUAAUGGAGGCUCUCCAAACUGGAUCUGCCUUUAGCAGGCCGGAUCAACGUCGCAAGAGGCAGACCCGCGCGGCCGGUGAACUUGCCUAAAUCCGAAGAAUUAAAUGAGGGUUACCAGAAAGGAGGGCACAGUUAAACAGAAGUCGAUCGCGAACAGGAUUGGUGGGAACUGGAUUGCUCGGAAGAGAAUUGUCUACGGAACUGCUAAGUUCAGCGUAACAGAAAGAGACCAAGAGGUGUCCGUCCCAAAAUUGAUGCUGUGAUGUUUUAAGCUUCAGUCUAUGAUUUUUGAGUACCGCUGCAGCGAAGUACAAAAUGGUUCUUACUCAGGCAGGACAUAACGAUCAGUGCCAGAUUAUUAUCGCACUGUGAUACCAUUUGUACCCAACAUUAUCGUUUGGUUCAGAUGAGUUUCCCGAUGUCUUCCCACUGUCUGAAAGCAUCGUCCCGGAGGAUACUCUUAAAAUGACAGCGACCUAGGUACAUAGAAACGUUCAGGGUUAAGGGGAUGUGAAAGUGGCAUCCGGGAGGUCAAUCGUUCAUGUAACUUUUCUCCAAACUAGGUGUAAUUGCUUCAGACUUUGCAGCUUGAAUAUGGAGACUAUAGGGAAGGUCCUGACACCCAUGAAAUUUCAUUUUUUAUCAAGUCGGUACACCCAGUUCGAAGAAAUGUUUCAUAAGGGAGAUCCCUUUGACGUCACUUUCACAUCACGUUAAUGCAUAGUAGGUAUGCGGUUACUAUGUUUACACAGAAAUCGUGCAGGUGUGGUUAUUAAGUCCGUACUGUUGGCAAUCGUGUAAGGUUUCAAUGAAAAUGGUAAUUGCAUGAACGAUACCGAGGGUGAGGGGACUGUCGAUUGAAAGAAGCCCAGCUCUUAUUGAGUUUUAACACGUGGAAAAACUUAGUUAGAAAAUCGUAGUCAACUCCACUGCUGCACCACGGACGUUUCGACGAUGCUAGAAAUGUCUAAUUCGUGUAAUUAGUAUUUCCUCGACUAACCGGAGACUAUUAUGAUACUCUUAGGUGGCAAUUGUGGCUAACAGCAACUGAACGUAUAUUCCGAUGGAUUGUGUCAAAUCUAGGAGAAACGUUUCAUGUACAAAUCACACGGGAAUGGGGAAACGGGAAUGUUCAGUCGGUGUACAUUUUGUGAGAUCGAUAACUGCCUCUUCUUCUGUGUACUUACACUGACUCGAUCAUGAGAGAUAUGUAAAUAGUGCAAUUUAGAGCCGUACGUUUGAUUAACGAAACAGAUAGUUUUAGGGACGCCACGUCUUUUUGUACUUUUUAAGGAAUCCUUUUUACUUCAUCUUUCGCGGAGAUGCAUUUACACGCAAAAUGAAAAAAAAGAAAAGAUAUCAAGAGUGUCAUAAACCGCCCAACUAUCUGCAAGUAAAUCUACUUUAUAGAAAUAUAGGAUUAAAAAAUUGCCAAGACCUCUAUUUUAGGCACGACUGUAAGAUAUAAAUGCCGUUCACUAAACGCUAUUAAUUUCCGCAAUAAACGCCAUCAAUUCUCGACAAUUUGACCUUCUCGAUGCUGGGCUAGAUUAAUUGUAUUAUUUUGAAUGGUUAAUGCAGGUGUACGUUACGAGGGAUUUCUUCGAAGGAGAUUUGCCUUCCCCGCAAUUCUUAUUGCAAACCUACGAUCGUGCCUUAAAUAUGCGCCGCGUAAUUAAUGAAUACUUAUCGAUAGAUAAGGAAAGGUGAGAAAUUUAUUUUUUUGAAUCUUGAUGCCAGCUAUUGUUUAUAUUGUAUUUGUUGUACGAAGGAAGGGGAGUCUUGUAACUAUACUGUGAAUACGUACAUUUAGAAUAAAUUAUUACUUUAUUGAUAGGGA
This is an RNA transcript of Orussus abietinus, 5003 nucleotides long. It is a transcript of the gene named protein diaphanous, with no coding region annotated. Lineage: Eukaryota; Metazoa; Arthropoda; Insecta; Hymenoptera; Orussidae. The record is from RefSeq and is a predicted model, not a curated record. The transcript is spliced from 18 exons.